This 478-nucleotide ribosomal RNA is filed under the name uncultured soil bacterium. RNAcentral's name for it is "bacterial SSU rRNA". It matches the Rfam family "Bacterial small subunit ribosomal RNA", at positions 26 to 519 of the family's 1533-position model. The record is from RNAcentral.
AGAAUCAACGCUGGCGGCGUGCCUCAGACAUGCAAGUCGAACGAUUAAAGCUCCCUUCGGGGAGUGCAUAAAGUGGCGCACGGGUGAGUAACACGUAAGUAAUCUACCCUCGGGUGGGGAAUAACGUUCGGAAACGGACGCUAAUACCGCAUAAUGCAGCGGCACCGCAAGGUGACAGUUGUUAAAGAUUUAUUGCCUGGGGAGGAGCUUGCGGCAGAUUAGCUUGUUGGUAAGGUAACGGCUUACCAAGGCUACGAUCUGUAUCCGGUCUAAGAGGACGGUCGGACACACUGACACUGAAUAACGGGUCAAACUCCUACGGGAGGCAGCAGUCGGAAUUUGGGCAAUGGGGGAAACCUGACCCAGCAACGCCGCGUGAAGGAUGAAGUAUUUCGGUAUGUAAACUUCGAAAGAAUAGGAAGAAUUAAUGACGUACUAUUUAUAAGGUCCGGACUAACUACGUGACCUAGCAGCCGAC